RNAcentral lists this ribosomal RNA (330 nucleotides) under uncultured Glomeromycotina. RNAcentral's name for it is "eukaryotic LSU rRNA". Lineage: Eukaryota; Fungi; Glomeromycota. The record is from RNAcentral.
AAUCAGUUUAUGGGGUUUCGAGUUCUUGAGUAGAGGCAGGGUCAAACCGUUUCUCUUUUGGACUUGAGAUUUGUUAGAUGUACUUUUUCUUUGGCAGGUCAACGUCGGUUUCGGGGGUUGUAAAAUACUUGGGGGAAAGUAGCUCUGCUUCGGGAGAGUGUUAUAGACCCUGGGAGAUGCAGCCUGUGGGAUCGAGGAUUGCAGCAAAUGCCUUCUGGCUUGUCGCCUGUUCCUGGGUGUUACCUCUCUUGUGACAACAUUCUUGCCACCGGAGGGUACUAAUGUCCACUGUUUAGAGCGAUCGAAAAUUUUGCUAAGGAUGCUGACGUA